RNAcentral lists this long non-coding RNA (458 nucleotides) under Rhinopithecus bieti (black snub-nosed monkey). RNAcentral's name for it is "lncRNA (ENSRBIG00000046509.1)". The record is from RNAcentral. Lineage: Eukaryota; Metazoa; Chordata; Mammalia; Primates; Cercopithecidae.
UAACCCUCCUCCAGAUUGAAUAUCUGGCAGCUCUAAGAAUUCUUAUCUCUUUGGUGCAGAGAUCCAAAAUUGCUGUGUAUGAGAAAAUGUGGUCUUACAUGAAAUCAGCGGAGCCAUCUGUGUUUACCAAAACAACAGCAGACGGAGUGGCCCGAGUGCGAAAGUCCAAGGGAAAGUUCGCCUUCCUGCUGGAGUCAACCAUGAAUGAGUACAUUGAGCAGAGAAAACCAUGUGAUACGAUGAAAGUUGGUGGAAAUCUGGAUUCCAAAGGCUAUGGUGUGGCAACCCCUAAAGGCUCAGCAUUAAGAAAUGCUGUUAACCUGGCAGUAUUAAAACUGAAUGAGCAAGGCCUCUUGGACAAAUUGAAAAACAAAUGGUGGUACGACAAAGGAGAGUGCGGCAGCGGGGGCGGUGACUCCAAGAACGCCUGUAAACCUUGCAGUAUUGAAACUCAGUGA